This is a non-coding RNA of Ciona savignyi (Pacific transparent sea squirt), 1104 nucleotides long. NCBI's taxonomy places the organism in Eukaryota, Metazoa, Chordata, Ascidiacea, Phlebobranchia, Cionidae. The record is from Rfam.
GCUUGGUUUCUCGAUGAAUUAACGUGGGGUACCCAUAGGAACCGCUUCGGCUCCUACUAUGGGAGCAGCGUGUGCGCGCAUAAUUGAAGGUGAAAGCGAUCGAGCCAUGGUGGCUUUACCGGCGGUAAUGUGAGCAGGACAUGCCGGCCAAAAAUCUUGGUUUCUCGAUGAAUUAACGUGGGGUACCACUAGGUAUCGCUUCGGUUCUUACUAUGAGGGCAGCGCGUGUGCGCGCAUAAUUGAAGGUGAAAGCGAAAGCGAUCGAGCCUUGGUGGCUUUAGUGGCGGUAAUGUGAGCAAGAUAUGACGGCCAAAUAGCUUGGUUUCUCGGUGAAUUAACGUGGGGUACCCGUAUAGAGGUCCGCGCGUGCGCGCAUAAUUAAAGGUGAACCUUGCAUGAAUGCGCAUGAAUGGAUUAACGAGAUUCCUGAUGUCCCUAUCUACUAUCUAGCGAAACCACAGGCAAGGAUAGGACUUGGCAUAAUUAGAUUGAUUUUGAUCUUCAGUAUGAAUACAGACCGCGAAAGCGUGGCCUAUCGAUCCUUUUUUGAACUCGCGAGUUUCAAGGAAGUGGUGCCAGAAAAUUUACCACAGGGAUAACUGGCUUGUGGCAGCAAAGCGUUCAUAGCGACGUUGCCUUUUGAUGCUUGGACGGAGUAGGAUAGGAUAGGAUAUGCAUGUUUAUCCCCGUGAAUGGGAAAACCCCAGGGGUUAUCACACGGGCAAUCGUCAGAUCACCUCGCGCCCAUCGUCGGGUUACCGGAGCUAUUGCAGUGUGUUGUAUGUGAUAGACACGUUCCUUCAAUUUGGUAGAACCCAUUAAUCCGCUGGGUUCAGGCAAUGUCCGUAAAGUGCCUUGCCCAAGGACACAACCGACUAGCUAGCGACCAGUUUCGCAACUGCAACCUUUCGAUUGAAAGGCGACGCACUUAACCGCUAGACCAUCGGGCCGGACACAAACGAUUCAGACAUUUGGUUAAUGUGAUGGGCUGUUAAGCCAAUGGUGCGAAGCUACGUACUAUCCGAUGAUUUUGACUGAACGCCUCUAAGUCAGAAUUCCACCUGGAAAGCGACGAUGCAUUCCUGCCUCGGCCUCGAGAGGCGU